RNAcentral lists this ribosomal RNA (467 nucleotides) under uncultured bacterium. Its description in RNAcentral is "partial 16S ribosomal RNA". It matches the Rfam family "Bacterial small subunit ribosomal RNA", at positions 28 to 506 of the family's 1533-position model. The record is from RNAcentral.
GACGAACGCUGGCGGCGUGCUUAACACAUGCAAGUCGAACGGAAAGGCCCUGCUUUUGUGGGGUGCUCGAGUGGCGAACGGGUGAGUAACACGUGAGUAACCUGCCCUUGACUUUGGGAUAACUUCAGGAAACUGGGGCUAAUACCGGAUAGGAGCUCCUGCUGCAUGGUGGGGGUUGGAAAGUUUCGGCGGUUGGGGAUGGACUCGCGGCUUAUCAGCUUGUUGGUGGGGUAGUGGCUUACCAAGGCUUUGACGGGUAGCCGGCCGGAGAGGGUGACCGGCCAAGUGGGAAGCGGGAUGCGGCCCGGGCGCAUAGGGGGGGGAGGGGGGGGGAAUUUCGCAAAAAGGGGGGAAGGGUGAUGAAGGACCGCGGGUGGGGGGAUGCGGGCCUUCGGGUUGAAAACCCAUUGCGCCGGGAACGAAGGGGGGGGAAGGGAAAGGGGAAAAAAAGCACGGGUAAAUAAGGU